GUCCGGGCGGCCGUGACCCUGCUGGAGUCCGGGGGGGACCUCCAGCCCCCCGGGGGGUCCCUGCGCCUCCUCUGCCGAGGGGAUGGAUUCGACAUCGGGAAAUUUGGGAUGGGCUGGGUGCGCCAGAGACCCGGGAAGGGGCUGGAAUUCAUUUCAGCCAUCAGCAGGAAGAGCGGCAAGACGUUCUACGCGCCGUGGGUGCAGGGCCGGUUCACGAUGGGCAGCGACAACGGGCAGAGCUCGGUGACGCUGAGCAUGAACAACCUCCAGGACGAGGAUUCCGGGGUUUAUUUCUGUGCCAAAUGUAACAGCAAUAGUUGGACUGCUGUUUAUGCUUCUCAUGUUGACAAUGGCGGUGCUGGUCCCAGGUCGCCGUCCCGGGGCCAGAGCGAGCCCGGCUGGGGAUAA
Non-coding RNA from Poecile atricapillus (Black-capped chickadee), 408 nucleotides. The record is from the annotation of a RefSeq genome assembly. NCBI's taxonomy places the organism in Eukaryota, Metazoa, Chordata, Aves, Passeriformes, Paridae.